UACAGAGGUCUCAAGCGUUGUUCGGAUUCAUUGGGCGUAAAGGGUGCGUAGGCGGCGCGGUAAGUCGGGUGUGAAAUCUCGGAGCUUAACUCCGAAACUGCAUUCGAUACUGCCGUGCUUGAGGACUGGAGAGGAGACUGGAAUUUACGGUGUAGCGGUGAAAUGCGUAGAUAUCGUAAGGAAGACCAGUGGCGAAGGCGGGUCUCUGGGCCGUAACUGACGCUGAGGAGCGAAAGCGUGGGGAGCGAACAGG
This 253-nucleotide ribosomal RNA is filed under the name uncultured bacterium. RNAcentral's name for it is "partial 16S ribosomal RNA". It matches the Rfam family "Bacterial small subunit ribosomal RNA", at positions 524 to 776 of the family's 1533-position model. The record is from RNAcentral.